This 465-nucleotide ribosomal RNA is filed under the name uncultured bacterium. RNAcentral's name for it is "partial 16S ribosomal RNA". It matches the Rfam family "Bacterial small subunit ribosomal RNA", at positions 338 to 795 of the family's 1533-position model. The record is from RNAcentral.
CCUACGGGUGGCAGCAGUGAGGAAUAUUGCUCAAUGGGCGAAAGCCUGACGCAGCGAAGCCGCGUGAGGGAUGACGGUCUUCGGAUCGUAAACCUUUGUUAGUAGGGAAGAACGGUCACUGUGCUAAUCAGCAGUGAAUUGACGGUACCAGCAAAGGAAGGACCGGCCAACUCCGUCCCAGCAGCCGCGGUAAUACGGCGGGUCCGAGCGUUGAUCGGAAGUAUUGGGCGUAAAGCGAUCGUAGGCGGUAUGUCAAGUCAAGUGUGAAAUCUCCGGGCUCAACGUGGGAACUGCAUUUGAAACUGGCAACCUGGAGUGUGUGAGAGGAUGGUGGAAUUCGAGGUGUAGGAGUGAAAUGCGUAGAUAUCUGGAAGAACACCGGUGGCGAAGGCGACUAUCUGGCACAUAACUGACGCUGAGGAGCGAAAGCGUGGGUAGCAAACAGGAUUAGAUACCCGAGUAGUC